This 564-nucleotide long non-coding RNA is filed under the name Setaria viridis. Its description in RNAcentral is "long non-coding RNA (SVIR_LNC003215)". The record is from RNAcentral. Lineage: Eukaryota; Viridiplantae; Streptophyta; Magnoliopsida; Poales; Poaceae.
AAUUAUCUAUGCUUGUUUUAUCUUUAUACCAUCAUCAUGUUCAUUUUCAUAUUUAUUUUUCUGCAUCCAUUGCAUUUUAACAUCAUGUGUGCAUCCUAAAAUUCUCUUGCACCUUCAUUGCAUUCCAUUCAUGCUUUGCAUAUAGUUGGCUUGGUUGUUCUAUACACUUUAUGAAGAAUUCUUUCAUAUCCCUGUUAAUGCUUAAUAUAUGGUCAUUUUCCUUUCGCAAUCUUGUGUAAACAUGGUGUUUAAACUUGUUUGCGGACUAUCAUCAUUCAGUUCUAUAAACAUGUUGCAUUGAUUCUUUUAUAAGCUUUGCAAUGCGCUUUGUUUUUCUUGUGCUAUAACGAAUUAUUGAUCUUGGAAUAGACAUGGUAUUUUGACCUUGGUUAAUUAAUCUCUAUGGUUAUAGAGAAAUCCAGCCACCUAGUUGUAAACAUGGUGUUUAGAACUAUGUGCAAACAUUGUCUUUGCUUAUCUGCCAUCCUCUCAUAUGCAUUUACACCUUGCACUCAUGUACACCCAUUAGGUUUUUAUAUUUGUUUUCACUAGACUAAUUAUACC